AACAAACGCUGGCGGCGUGCCUAACACAUGCAAGUCGGACGCGAAAGGGCUUUCGGGCCUGAGUAAAGUGGCGCACGGGUGAGUAACGCGUGGGUAAUCUGCCUCUAAGUUGGGAAUAACUCAUCGAAAGGUGGGCUAAUACCGAAUAAUGCUGCAUGACCGCGGUUGUGCAGCCAAAGAUGGCCUCUGCUUGCAUGCUAUCGCUAAGAGAUGAGCCCGCGUACCAUUAGCUAGUUGGUCGGGUAACGGCCUACCAAGGCGACGAUGGUUAGCUGAUCUGAGAGGAUGAUCAGCCACACUGGAACUGAGACACGGUCCAGACUCCUACGGGAGCAGCAGUGAGGAAUCUUGCGCAAUGGGGGAAACCCUGACGCAGCAACGCCGCGUGAGUGAGGAAGGCCUUGGGUCGUAAAGCUCUGUCGGUGGAAAGAACGUAAUGAGUGUUAAUAGCAUUUGUACUUGACGGUACCGCCAAGGAAGCGACC
Molecule: ribosomal RNA, 485 nt
Filed under: uncultured bacterium
Lineage: Bacteria
Description: bacterial SSU rRNA
Rfam family: Bacterial small subunit ribosomal RNA
Source: RNAcentral